This 260-nucleotide long non-coding RNA is filed under the name Polistes fuscatus (common paper wasp). RNAcentral's name for it is "uncharacterized LOC122517353". The record is from RNAcentral. Lineage: Eukaryota; Metazoa; Arthropoda; Insecta; Hymenoptera; Vespidae.
CGAGGAAAGGGUGGAGGAGGAGUCUCAGUUUCCUUCCCUACGGAUGACUAACGACCGCCGAGACUAUUUAUUGUCAUCAAGCGGUUUCUGCUUUCUCAUGCGAUCUACGAACAAGAUCCAGAACACUGUAUGUAUAUCCUUGGAUCGAUAUAGAUCGAUGGAAACAAAAAUUUCUCGACUGUUAAAUCACGAUUAACAUCCACCUACGUAAUACCGAAGUAACCAGCGACGUGACUUUUGAGAAUAAAAAGAAGGAAGAA